RNAcentral lists this ribosomal RNA (406 nucleotides) under uncultured bacterium. RNAcentral describes it as "partial 16S ribosomal RNA". It matches the Rfam family "Bacterial small subunit ribosomal RNA", at positions 30 to 526 of the family's 1533-position model. The record is from RNAcentral.
AUUGAACGCUGGCGGCAGGCCUAACACAUGCAAGUCGAACGAGUGGAGGAAGGGUGAGCAAUGACUGGGAAAGUGCCUGAUGGAGGGGGAUAACAACUGGAAACGGAUGCUAAUAACGCAUAGCAUCGGAUGGGCCAGGUUGGGAUUAGCUAGUAGGUGGGGUAACGGCUCACCUAGGCGACGAUCCCUAGCUGGUGUGAGAGGAUGACCAGCCACACUGGAACUGAGACACGGUCCAGACUCCUACGGGAGGCAGCAGUGGGGAAUAUUGCACAAUGGGCGCAAGCCUGAUGCAGCCAUGCCGCGUGUAUGAAGAAGGCCUUCGGGUUGUAAAGUACUUUCAGCUAGGAGGCGUUACUCACAGAAGAAGCACCGGCUAACUCCGUGCCAGCAGCCGCGGUAAUUC